Molecule: ribosomal RNA, 253 nt
Filed under: uncultured bacterium
Lineage: Bacteria
Description: partial 16S ribosomal RNA
Rfam family: Bacterial small subunit ribosomal RNA
Source: RNAcentral
GACGAGGGAUCCUAGCGUUGCUCGGAAUCAUUGGGCGUAAAGAGGGCGUAGGUGGCUUGGUAAGUCAGGUGUGAAAGCCCAGGGCUCAACCCUGGAAGUGCAUUUGAUACUGCUAAGCUUGAGUGUUGGAGAGGUUAUCGGAAUACCUGGUGUAGUGGUGAAAUACGUAGAUAUCAGGUGGAACACCGGAGGCGAAGGCGGGUAACUGGCCAAACACUGACACUGAGGCCCGAAAGCAUGGGGAUCAAACAGG